RNAcentral lists this ribosomal RNA (174 nucleotides) under uncultured bacterium. RNAcentral describes it as "partial 16S ribosomal RNA". It matches the Rfam family "Bacterial small subunit ribosomal RNA", at positions 1328 to 1500 of the family's 1533-position model. The record is from RNAcentral.
GGAAUUGCUAGUAAUCGCGAAUCAGAAUGUCGCGGUGAAUACGUUCCCGGGCCUUGUACACACCGCCCGUCACACCAUGAGAGUCGAUAACACCCGAAGCCUGUGAGCUAACCUUUUAGGAGGCAGCAGUCGAAGGUGGGGUUGAUGAUUGGGGUGAAGUCGUAACAAGGUAUC